Molecule: long non-coding RNA, 237 nt
Organism: Pipistrellus kuhlii (Kuhl's pipistrelle)
Lineage: Eukaryota; Metazoa; Chordata; Mammalia; Chiroptera; Vespertilionidae
Exons: 3
Source: RefSeq, a predicted model, not a curated record
CCAGCACUUGGGGGCGCCCAGGGAAAGCCAAGCCCGUGGCUGCGACCUGUGACCCGCAACCCCGGGUUGGCCUUGCCCCCGGAGCGCCCAUCUCGCUCCCCAGGCUCAGAGCGCGGCUGGGACUUUUGCAAACUUUCUAACUCCUGAGGGCGAGAGGGCAGAGCAGGGACCCUGUCCGGGCGCCGCGACUUCCCUCCGAUCCUCACCGGGACGCCCAGCCUGCACCCAGGGAGGGAA